AGCCCCUUAGUCUAGCGGUCAAGGACGAUGCCCUCUGGAGGCGUAAACCCAGGUUCGAAUCCUGGAGGGGCUA
This 73-nucleotide transfer RNA is filed under the name Nanobdellota archaeon. RNAcentral describes it as "tRNA-Gln". It matches the Rfam family "tRNA". From Rfam's summary of the family: Transfer RNA (tRNA) molecules are approximately 80 nucleotides in length. Their secondary structure includes four short double-helical elements and three loops (D, anti-codon, and T loops). The record is from RNAcentral. Lineage: Archaea; Nanobdellati; Nanobdellota.